This 224-nucleotide long non-coding RNA is filed under the name Vigna radiata. RNAcentral's name for it is "long non-coding RNA (VRAD_LNC005607)". Lineage: Eukaryota; Viridiplantae; Streptophyta; Magnoliopsida; Fabales; Fabaceae. The record is from RNAcentral.
AUCUAUAUACUGAACUAGCUCAUUUAAUAGCUAGCUUAUUUAAUAAUCCCAACUAAAAGCUAAUGAAAUUUAUUUAUUUAUUUUUGUGUAGGUGAUUUGCAUGUGUGUUCUUUGCAAGUUGCAACCUACAGAGCACUUGGGUGAUUCACAACCUCAUAUGUUUAUGUUUCCCUUUCCACACUCCAAAAGAAGAUGACUCAUAACAACAGUCUCUUUCCCUUAGC